UGAAGCGGGAAAAGCUCAAAUUUAAAAUCUGGUGGUCUUUGGCCAUCCGAGUUGUAAUUUAGAGAAGCGUCUUCCGCGCUGGACCGUGCACAAGUCUCCUGGAAUGGAGCGUCAUAGAGGGUGAGAAUCCCGUCUUUGGCACGGACACACCAGGGCUUUUGUGAUGCGCUCUCAAAGAAUCGAGUUGUUUGGGAAUGCAGCUCAAAAUGGGUGGUGAACUCCAUCUAAAGCUAAAUAUUGGCGAGAGACCGAUAGCGAACAAGUACCGUGAGGGAAAGAUGAAAAGCACUUUGGAAAGAGAGUGAAACAGUACGUGAAAUUGUUGAAAGGGAAACGCUUGAAGUCAGUCGCGUCGACCGAGACUCAGCCUUGCCUCGGCUUGGUGUACUUCUCGGCCUGACGGGUCAGCAUCAAUUUUGCCCCUUGGAUAAUGGCGAGGGAAAUGUGACACCUUUACGGUGUGUUAUAGUCCCUUGUCGCAUGCAAGGGUUGGGAUUGAGGAACUCAGCACGCGCCUUUGGGUGUCGGGGCUUUGCCCACGAUACGUGCUUAGGAUGUGGGCGUAAUGG
Molecule: ribosomal RNA, 569 nt
Filed under: Russula decolorans
Lineage: Eukaryota; Fungi; Basidiomycota; Agaricomycetes; Russulales; Russulaceae
Description: LSU rRNA
Rfam family: Eukaryotic large subunit ribosomal RNA
Source: RNAcentral